CGGGGAAUUUUCCGCAAUGGGCGAAAGCCUGACGGAGCAAUGCCGCGUGGAGGUGGAAGGCCUACGGGUCGUCAACUUCUUUUCUCGGAGAAGAAACAAUGACGGUAUCUGAGGAAUAAGCAUCGGCUAACUCUGUGCCAC
RNAcentral lists this ribosomal RNA (141 nucleotides) under uncultured bacterium. RNAcentral describes it as "partial 16S rRNA". It matches the Rfam family "Bacterial small subunit ribosomal RNA", at positions 355 to 511 of the family's 1533-position model. The record is from RNAcentral.